UCGCCUACGGGGCGCAGCAGUAGGGAAUCCUCCACAAUGGACGAAAGUCUGAUGGAGCAACGCCGCGUGAGUGAAGAAGGGUUUCGGCUCGUAAAACUCUGUUGGUAGUGAAGAAAGAUAGAGGGAGUAACUUGCCUUUAUUUGACGGUAAUUACUUAGAAAGUCACGGCUAACUACGUGCCAGCAGCCGCGGUAAUACGUAGGUGGCAAGCGUUGUCCGGAUUUAUUGGGCGGAAAGCGAGUGCAGGCGG
RNAcentral lists this ribosomal RNA (251 nucleotides) under uncultured bacterium. RNAcentral describes it as "partial 16S ribosomal RNA". It matches the Rfam family "Bacterial small subunit ribosomal RNA", at positions 335 to 578 of the family's 1533-position model. The record is from RNAcentral.